Etheostoma spectabile (orangethroat darter) is the source of this 111-nucleotide long non-coding RNA. RefSeq lists it as uncharacterized. NCBI's taxonomy places the organism in Eukaryota, Metazoa, Chordata, Actinopteri, Perciformes, Percidae. The transcript has 3 exons. The record is from RefSeq and is a predicted model, not a curated record.
CCAACAGAAACCACUGUUCACCAACUUUUCCAAACAGCUCUGUUGUAGUCCAACCUUUACUUAGAGACGAAUGUGCGUCACUUUGUAGCACACUAUGGUUACACUUUCCUU